Molecule: long non-coding RNA, 783 nt
Organism: Suricata suricatta (meerkat)
Lineage: Eukaryota; Metazoa; Chordata; Mammalia; Carnivora; Herpestidae
Exons: 3
Source: RefSeq, a predicted model, not a curated record
CCAACCAGCCAGCUAGCCCCACACAACACUGUGAGGACGGCCUGAACAGACACUUGGUGUCGCCAUUUUUCUCCCCCUCACCAGCAAUGUGGAGCUUCAGGUAACAGGACAGCAGGCCCACAGUGGAAAACAGGACCUGCCUUUGCCAAACCCUCCGUGCCUGGUGACAUAUCUACUGGACCCAACCAGAUGGCCCCUCCUCCAGACCAGCACAGCCACCAGUUCUGAGGCACCAUCGGAUAUCGGUCGCUCCUCUCUCUUCCUCUACUCGUUCCAUAAAUGUUGGACUUUCUCAAGAUUAGGUGCAGCCAGGAGGGCGAAGGAGAACUUUUACCUCCUCUACAAUGUUCAAGAACAUAGACAAAGAGGACCUGAUCUAACGGGGUGUUGAGAAAGAAUUCCUUUGGGAAAUGAAAUUGGAACUGUGACCUGAGAGAUGAGUAGCAAUCACUGUGCGGGCAGACAGUGCUUGUCACCUAAACGUUAUCCAGUUUCCCUUCCACUGUUAGUUUUAGGAACCAGAUUUUCAUCCUGGGUGGGCUCAGUGUGUGCUCCUCUGUUCUUCUGAGCACGUGUGUCAAUGGCCCACAGGCAUGGCCCCAGCUUUCAGUGUUUCACACUCCACGGGGUGGGGUCCCAUUACUGAGGCAAGAGAGGAGCGCUGGCUGGCCGGUUGCCCUGCACUGGCUCUCAGGGAAACCCCUGGCCACAGGGACUGAUGCCGCUGCUGAACCUUGCCUUGCUCUGUCUCUUCUGUCUGUGAGUAAAGUGCUGUUCCAUCCA